Pelobates cultripes (western spadefoot toad) is the source of this 9514-nucleotide non-coding RNA. Lineage: Eukaryota; Metazoa; Chordata; Amphibia; Anura; Pelobatidae. The record is from the annotation of a GenBank genome assembly.
CGGCAUUCUGAAGUCAUGUGAUAUUUAUUACCUUUGAAUCUCAAUGCUAUAAAACAGUCAUAUCACUAGUAAAAGCAACUUCCUUACAAAUAAGGAAGAGAGCUACUAAAAUAAAUUCUUAUAAAAAGCUGACAGUCGAUCCGUGCUUCAUACAGUCAGAGAAAGCAGAAAGAGCCAUGAGAUCCAGUCUGCUCACAGCCCUAAUUUUCACCCUGGUUACAGGUACGUUAAACAGGACAGUAAGAAUUAUCCUUAGAUUAGAAUUAGCCUAAUCUAGCAGAUAACCCAAAUGGUUAAUUCUCCCCUCUCCCCUUUACUGCAUCCAGUCCUCCCCUUAGUGCCCCUUGUGUGUGAUUAACCUUCCAAUUGUCACUUUUUAUUAUAAAUAUUUAGUACAACGUAUUUUAGUCUUCGUACAUAAAAGGUGAACUCUAUAUUUUUAUACAAUGCGUAUCUCAAAAUGUAAAAAUAAAAUAUUACACUUACAGUGACAUCAUUUCAGAAAAGAAAAUUUGAAACUUGCAUUUGCAAGGCUUAUUUACUAAAUUAUGACUUUGUUGGGGAAUUCAAAGCGAAUUCAAAUCAAAUUUCAUAUAUUGGGCCAUAAUAGAAAUAUUGCAAAAAUCUUUACAUCAUUGGGAAUAAUUUUAGUUUUAAGCACAACUAAAAUUAAGAAACAAUUAAUUGUGUCUUUUUUAUUUUAUAAAGGUAAAUAUUUUAGAAUACACUUCAAAGAAGUGUCCUCCCAGCUUGCAUAUAAAUAAUUGAAAUUGCAGAAUGGAUGAAGCUGGGUGGAGAAAUUAAACACCAAAUUAAAGCAGCUAUUAAAAUCAAUUAAACAUUGUAAAUAAAUUUAAAAAACCAUUAGCGCUAACCAGUUUUAAAAAGAAUGCAUUAAACAGAGUUACACUGACUUACUCAUUUCAGCUAUAUUAGCUACAUAACAUUCUGUGGAAUUUCAAGGGAUCAUUUAUUGAAGAACAGUUACUUUAUCGUAUUUUAUCCUUAUGUUUACGUAUCACAUAUAAUUAACUAAUGAAUAAUUGUGAGGAUUAAAAAUAAAAUUAAUUGGAAAAAUCCACACCUCGCUAUCCUGCAAAUGACCCAGAUGACUGUGUCCCUCUUAGCUCCCUGUCAAUCAUAGUUAUAAUCUAUGUUCUUCGCACAUGUCAGCCAGCCAACAAUGUCAUAGCCAGCGGUAGAUUAGCUUUUUUUAAUCAUCUACCCAGUCUGACCGGAAACUGCUCUCUGCUCCCAAAUUGCUGUCAGACUGGGUAAAGGAUAAUAUCAUUCUCCUCAAGGCCAUCCUACACGGACUGACUGGCAGGAGGUGAGAUUCUUGCCCCCUCCCCCACUGGUCAAAUGAAUAUUGCGCCAGGUGACACUCAGAAUAUAGGACGCAGGCAGUUUUUUACCCAAAAUUCAGGGGUAAAAAUACUGCGUUCUAUAUUCCUAAAAAUAUGGUAGUUAAAACAAAAUGACAUGGCCAUGAACAUACGUGUUCAAUUUUUUUCAUAUAUUUUCAACAGGGAUGGUAUUUGCUGCACCAGAAGGGCUAAUUUCACAGGAGGUAAGUGAUUACCAAAUAUCUGUAAUGUUAAUAUAUCAUUUAGACAAUCACUUUAGUUGAGAAAUAUGUGUAGAGUUUAGAAGAUAGACAUAUCCUGGAGUCAGUCUAGAGCAGGGGUGCCCCAAAGGUAGAUCCCCAGAUGUUUUAAAAAUACAGCUUCCAUGAUGCUGUCAUGCUAAGCAUUUUUAAAGAAAUACAUAGCAGCGUGGGAGUUGUAGUUCUACAACAUCUGGGGAUCUACCCUCUGGUCUAGAUUGUUCAGGUGCCAAGGAGGAAGAAAUAAACCGAAUUCUUAUAAAAUGAUCAAAUAUUGAUUUAAGCAUCAUUAUUAUAAAAUGAUCAAAUAUUGAUUUUAAGAUUUGGUUAAUCGUAUUUUAUUCUAUAAUAUAUUAUAUUGGCAAAAUAUGUAACACAUUAGAAUAGCUCACAAGAGAUCCCAACAUGAUCUGUAUACUAUCAUUAAGACAUCGGUGCCAUCUGUUCAUUUUCUGUGACUUUAUUUCUACCUAUUGGGGUAAUUUGUUUUUUAGCGUUGAUACCUAAUAGUCAUGAAAAUAGUUUUUCAGAGUAGAUAUCCGAUAAUUGUGGAUUCUUUAUCCACUGGUAUACUUUAUUUUAUUUUUUACUCCUCCUUGUUUCUAAAGAUAAUGGGGGAAAAUACUACACGAAAAUAGACUACAUAAUAGAUCAUUUUCCUUAGAUACCAUUUAUUGCCUAAAGGCACUAUGUAAUGCCUUUUUUGGUGAUUAUUUUUCUAUUGAUAGCUAAGUAAGGGUAUUACAGAACCCUUAUAUAUAAUAUGCAGCUAUAUGCUUGAUUUAUAUUUGUACUUCUAAUUUUAUAUAAAUCAAAUGCAGCAAAAUUCUUUAUAUAAAUUUGCACUUUUAAUUUAAUAUAUAUAUAUAAAAAGUAGCGAUAUUCUUUAUAUAAACUUCCACUUUUCAUUCAAUAUAUAUAAAAUGUAGCAAUAUUCGUUACUUGCACUGUGCAACGUAUAUAUAAUAGCAUCCCAUUAUCUGUUGGGAUGUGAUAGAUCAGUCUGCAUUCUAUUCAUACAUCAAUAUCUAUCCAUUAAUUUAUCUUUAUUCAUCCUUCCAUCCAUCCAUCACUUUAGAUAGCUCUAUUAAUCUAUCCAUCGAUCUAUCAAGCUAUCACUAUGGAGUCUGUUCAUUAAAUACCAAACUGCAGUGAAUUAAAAAUCAGAUUGCAAGAUAUUCUGAGCCGUGAGGAGGGCAGUGUCGGAGAAGUGGAGGUCUGGAAAGUUUCCAACCAUGGCAGCAAUUGUCCAUAAAAUAUCAGAUAAUAUGCUCAUGGACAAGCAAACAGCCAUGGUCUGUGGAUUCCUUACAUGAUACAGAUUGGCAUCGUCACUGUGGACUGAGUAUCUGGUUUAACAGACCAAUAUGAAGGAAUCUGCAGUAUUUUUACUGUCUUAAUUCAAUUUUGUCUCCAAUUCUCUUCCAUUUUCUUAUUUUCUUCUCCCCUGUAGCAGUGGACACUCUAACAUGCAUGUAUCCCAUUGGGCAUUUACCAACUGCGAGCUGAGUGACAGAUCAACUCUCCAAGUCUGCGUGCCCAGCUCCCAGGCACAUUGCAGCCCCUCACCACCUAGGCAUCCCACAACAGCUCUGAUUAAGGGGUUAUUAAUGGACAUACAGCUGACACUGGAUGUAGAUAUAAUGUAGCGGCCUUAAGAACCAAUUCCAAACUGCAGCCUCUAGUGUUGCUAUUUGACAGCUAAUAGAGGCAUUGGAAGGAAAAAAAAGAAAACUACUGUUUCUCAAAGAAAAUGCCCCUCUUUUAAAGUUAAUACUGCAGGGGCAGCAUUUUUGCUCUGAAACCACUUUAAGCUGAGGUGGUUUUGAUGCUUAGAAUGAUCAUUAAAAGUGUGUGGGGUAUCUGUAAGUAGGAGGAAGUAAAGGUGUGAAGCUAAAAUCCCUUUAGGAAUUAACUGAAUACGAAAAGGGUUAUUCUUUGGCCUUAAAUUUGGAAUUCGCUUCGGUGAAUAUCUUUGUAAAAGGUGGGGAAAGACAAUAUGGCUGGAUGAGAGAAUAGAAAAAUAAUCUUUCAAGGGUGACAUGAACCAGUCUUGGUGGAGGGCUCAUAAAAAUGACAGGAUGCCCACCAUCAUUGCCCACCAUGUACUGAAAGGUGUUAACGAUAGUUAAUCUGAUUUUUUUUAGCCCUGCACCAUGUAUAACCCACCCUAUCUCUGUUCAGCCUGUGUGUUCCAGGUAUUUGAAUACGUAUUGUCCCCGAGAGUACACCCCGGUAUGUGGAACAGAUGGAUACACCUAUGGAAGUGAAUGUCAUUUGUGCUGGGAAAAUAAGUAAGGGAAAUGUCUACCAAUAAUAUAGUGUCUUUGGUUUUACUCCACAGUGAGAUUUAGAAAUUCAAAAUUUCUACUACUAAUUUCUAAGACCAACUUAAAAAAAAUAAACCAAAUAGAAUUUAUUUUAUUUAUUUUUUAAUGUCUGUAAAAAUUAUGUCAUGUAGUAUUUAUGCUCAUAAUUUUUUUAUUUAUUUUUUAUUACACAUACACAUUGCCAAUUAAAGGGAAACUGUCACUGCUCUCUCUAUACUGACUGCCAGGUGUAAAGGGCGGAGCUUAUAACAAUGAUUGACAGGGAGCUAAGAUGGAGCUUAUAACAAUGAUUGACAGGGAGCUAAGAUGGAGGUGGCUCUCUCUAUGCUGACUGCCAGGUGUAAAGGGCGGAGCUUAUAACAAUGAUUGACAGGGAGCUAAGAUGGAGGUGGCUCUCUCUAUGCUGACUGCAGAUGGAGGUGGCUCUCUCUUUACUGACUGCCAGGUGUAAAGGGCGGAGCUUAUAACAAUGAUUGACAGGGAGCUAAGAUGGAGGUGGCGCUCUCUAUACUGAUUGCCAGGUGUAAAGGGCGGAGCUUAUAACAAUGAUUGACAGGGAGCUAAGAUGGAGGCGGCUCUCUCUAUACUGACUGCCAGGUAUAAAGGGCGGAGCUUAUAACAAUGAUUGACAGGGAGCUAAGAUGGAGGUGGCUCUCUCUAUACUGACUGCCAGGUGUAAAGGGCGGAGCUUAUAACAAUGAUUGACAGGGAGCUAAGAUGGAGGCUGCUCUCUCUAUACUGACUGCCAGGUGUAAAGGGCGGAGCUUAUAACAAUGAUUGACAGGGAGCUAAGAUGGAGGCGGCUCUCUCUAUACUGACUGCCAGGUGUAAAGGGCGGAGCUUAUAACAAUGAUUGACAGGGAGCUAAGAUGGAGGCGGCUCUCUCUAUACUGACUGCCAGGUGUAAUGGGCGGAGCUUAUAACAAUGAUUGACAGGGAGCUAAGAUGGAGGCGGCUCUCUAUACUGACUGCCAGGUGUAAAGGGCGGGGCUUAUAACAAUGAUUGACAGGGAGCUAAGAUGGAGGUGGCUCUCUCUAUACUGAAUGACAGGUGUAAAGGGCGGAGUUUAUAACAAUGACUGACAGAGAGCUAAGAUGUCGGCGGCUCUCUCUAUACUGACUGCCAGGUGUAAAGGGCGGAGCUUAUAACAAUGAUUGACAGGGAGCUAUGAUGGAGGGGGCUCUCUCUAUACUGACUGCCAGGUGUAAAGGGCGGAGCUUAUAACAAUGAUUGACAGGGAGCUAUGAUGGAGGUGGCUCUCUCUAUACUGACUGCCAGGUGUAAAGGGCGGAGCUUAUAACAAUGAUUGACCGGGAGCUAAGAUGGAGAUGGCUCUCUCUAUACUGACUGCCAGGUGUAAAGGGCGGAGCUUAUAACAAUGAUUGACAGGGAGCUAAGAUGGAGGUGGCUCUCUCUAUACUGACUGCCAGGUGUAAAGGGCGGAGCUUAUAACAAUGAUUGACAGGGAGCUAAGAUGGAGGAGGCUCUCUCUAUACUGACUGCCAGGUGUAAAGGGCGGAGCUUAUAACAAUGACUGACAGGGAGCUAAGAUGGAGGCGGCGCUCUCUAUACUGACUGCCAGGUGUAAAGCGCGGAGCUUAUAACAAUGACUGACAGGGAGCUAAGAUGGAGGCGGCGCUCUCUAUACUGACUGCCAGGUGUAAAGGGCGGAGCUUAUAACAAUGAUUGACAGGGAGCUAAGAUGGAGGUGGCUCUCUAUACUGACUGUCAGGUGUAAUGGGCGGAGCUUAUAACAAUGAUUGACAGGGAGCUAAGAUAGAGGUGGCUCUCUAUACUGACUGCCAGGUGUAAUGGGCGGAGCUUAUAACAAUGACUGACAGGAGCUAAGAUGGAGGCGGCUCUCUCUAUACUGACUGCCAAGUGUAAAGGGCAGAGCUUAUAACAAUGAUUGACAGGGAGCUAAGAUGGAGGCACACGGGUACAAGAUAAGGAUGUGUGGAUUUUUACAUUUAAUUUGACUUUUCACAAAUCACAAAUACAUACUUAGUAAAUACAGGGAUAAGAAAACAUUACAUUGAUUUUUUUUCUGAAGUGACCAUUCUUUUUUAACUAGUUCUGGUAUGAUAUAGGUCAUUUUUAGGAUUGUGGUGAGAAGCUGGAAUAAUUAUUAUUAUUUUUUAAUUCUUUAUUUUUUAUGUGCAGCAAGAUAACAUGGAUAGUGUACAUAUUCAAGAGUAUAAAUCACAUACGGUUAUCCAGCAAACAAUACAAGGAAACUGCACAUUUAAAAAAAAAUUUAACACGAAAAUUAUAACAAAAGUUACUCAAUGCAUAGAAAUUGCCAUAUAGCUAAAGAGUGGGUCAAGAUAUAUGCAUUGGAUGUUUAGACAGGCUAUAGUAGGUAUAAACAGACUUGUUACAGAUAUACUAUUGGAGUAUAGUAAUUAAAUUUACCACCCCUGGUUAUAGAACAUUGAAGUGCCACAGCACUCCCAAACAGAGAGAAAAUAAGGAAAAUGAAAACUAGAUGCAUGGCUUUAAAACAUGGGUUAAGUGUGAACGCAGGCAGAAGUCCUGUGAGCAUAUUCAGCCAACUCCCUUAGGUGGCAAUGCUGUUACUCCAUCAGGAAAAACAUCAUUCAGAGACAGGGUGUCCAUCCAGCCCCGGGCCUCCAGGAGUGCCGGUAUCUGUGUACCACAGACUCUGGUUCUUCUUGCGACCAAGUCUAUCCCCUUCAGGGAGAGGUCAGAGGAUUUAGGGGCCAAUCGCCGCCUGCAGGGAUUCCUCCGCCUGUGUGCGCGAUGCUGGGAGGUCAUGCCUCUGGUGGCCCUUAACCCCGGUAGAUGAGUAUGGGGUUUUGUUAGCCGCUUUCUAGUUGCGUUAUCCUGAGGAGGCCUUUCUGCCUCUGGGUGGUUGGUUCCCUAUUGGUUGGUUCCCUAGUCUGAUCUUGCUGGCUGUGUUGUGGGCAUGAAGGUUGAGAACUGUUGAAAGAGCUCAUCGAGCCACAUCAGGAAGAGAGUGGAGUGUCUCCUUUGUUGAACUCACACCAUGUGGGUCAGAGUGGAAGACAGUCGCCAUCUUUAGAUGCCUGAGGUUGAAUCUGAAUCUGCUCUGUUGGAGCGGUGAGGCUGGAUCUAACAGCUUUAGAUAGCCCAGGGGGGACCGGGAUAAUCCCCACAGGUCUGAGGGGGGAAAGUGGGGUUAGGAGUGCAAUGGAUCUGGGCCUCGAGUAAAAGCACGAGGAGAUCGGCCACCUUUCCCCAGCUUCACUCACGGUAGGCCGCAGCAGGCUUGCCCAAGCAUCCGCUGUCGGAGAUUCUCAGAAAAGGUUUCAUUCAGCGUGCCCGGGAGCCCCUGACCCGGGAAAUAUUGUAUGGUCAGCGUGAGAGUGUGAUGUUAGGAAUUUAGGAUUAAUACUUCCAAGUCUGCUUAUGUUGCAGGAGCUCAGACACCAAACAUCUCCCCAGCUUGAAGGUCAGGCUCCUCCCCCUGAAACUGGAAUAAUUUUACUUUUUGAAAUCCACUGUCAAUUGUUUUUACUUUUCUGUUCCGUAUAGUACUAAUGAACAAACACACAAACAAACUAAACAAACAAACAAAAAAAUAGUCCAAGCUGUAUGUCCAAGCUGUAUUUAGCAAAUAUUUGUAGAAUUAAGGGGACAAGAAGUGAUAAGAAACUAUUUGAAUGCUUCUAAUCUAGGGACCCCCGGGUAUUACUCAGUAUUAAAGGAACACUAUAGUCACCUAAAUUACUUUAGCUAAAUAAAGCAGUUUUAGUGUAUAGAUCAUUCCCCUGAAGUCUCACUGCUCAAUUCACUGUCAUUUAGGAGUUAAAUCACUUUGUUUCUGUUUAUGCAGCCCUAGCCACACCUCCCCUGGCUAUGACUGACAGAGCCUGCAUGAAAAAAAAACUGGUUUCACUUUCAAACAGAUGUAAUUUACCUUAAAUAAUUGUAUCUCAAUCUCUAAAUUGAACUUUAAUCACAUACAGGAGGCUCUUGCAGGGUCUAUCAAGCUAUUAACAUAGCAGGGGAUAAGAAAAUCUUAAUUAAACAGAACUUGCAAUAAAGAAAGCCUAAAUAGGGCUCUCUUUACAGGAAGUGUUUAUGGAAGGCUGUGCAAGUCACAUGCAGGGAGGUGUGACUAGGGUUCAUAAACAAAGGGAUUUAACUCCUAAAUGGCAGAGGAUUGAGCAGUGAGGCUGCAGGGGCAUGUUCUAUACACCAAAACUGCGUCAUUAAGCUAAAGUUGUUCAGGUGACUAUAGUGUCUCUUUAACAUCUACCUCCUGCUGUAGUGAUCAUAGUUUAACAGAAUAAUAUACGAGGUUUAAAAAUAUAUAUAUUUACAUAAACCAGAGUAGUUUAGUAUUCUUAGUAAAUCUGUAUUCUUAUUAAAUCACAUUCUUUAAACACUCAUGGCUCACGUUACUGUGUGUGCAGAGCUUAUGGGGAACUAAUCAGAUCUUUGUAUGUAUUUUCUUUUAGUCACAGAACGGAGAAAGUCCAAAUUAGAAAAAAUGGACACUGCUGAUCGGCAGCUGAAGACGAAUGCAUAACUCCCCUACUCCCUCCGCCUGUAAUUAAAAUAAACUUUAAUUCUGCUUACUGCUGAGAAAACUGGUUGAUGAGACAAUACAUUACAUUAAGAAUUGGGAUUCUAACAGUGUUGUCUUCUUUCCAAAUCCUUGUUUUAAAAUAUAGCUUUUUAUUGGCUUUAGCGUUUAAACAAUACAUUGUGCUUAAAUGACAUAGGAAUUGCAAACCAAUAUACCCCCACACCCCACCUCUCCCCACACCCCAGAACUGCCACAACAGCCAAAAUGAAAAAGUGACACAGUUAGGAAUUUUUGGCACUUUUUCAUUUUAAUUUUCUCUUUAAUUUGCCCCACUUUUCUACUAAGGGAAAAUGCCGCACUUUACUAUAAACUAUCAGAGCCUUCACCAAUAUCACAUAACUGAAGGCUACAGCCUUCCAGAAACCAGACUCAAAGAAAAUAUGAAUGGGAGGAUAAUUUGAUUAAUUAUUCGUUCUUUUCAAGUGUUGAUAUGAGUUACUAUACUGCUAAUGAAAAUAUGAUGCUGCAAUUCUAGAGUAUACAACUAAAAAUAGGAACACAAUUAAAAUUGGGAAUUGCUACGAAUGUUUAAUAUAAAAGUCAAGAAAUGUCCAUUUAAAAUCUUCCUAUAAAUGGUUUUAUAAACAGUUGCUUAGAGUCAAGUUUAACCCUUGAUUAACAUGGUCAUAUUCUCUUUUUAUGUUAAACAGCUGUGUUUCGAAGACUGCGCAAUAUUUUGCUUUUUUUCUCUUAAAUCCUCCUACCCCAGCUAGUGCGCGAAAAGGAUCCAUUAGCGAUUUCAGUAUGCCGUGUAAAUCUUAAAUAGAGAUGUCAAAAAAAAGAUAACUUUUACAUAGAUAAAUCGAUUACUGUUUUUGCCUACUAUAUAUGCAUGGUAAUGUACAUCAAACAUAACCCAGCACAAGGGCAGGAAACAAAUAAAAUGUUAAUUUUGCUCAAUAAGCAAUAAAAUGCAUUGUAUGAUACUUAAAAUGUUACUGAAAUAUUUGUUUGUUCCCAUUUUUUUUUUUAACAAGAUGGUAUUUCUUGCUCAUUCC